Long non-coding RNA from Drosophila mojavensis, 2208 nucleotides. RefSeq lists it as uncharacterized. The transcript is spliced from 3 exons. NCBI's taxonomy places the organism in Eukaryota, Metazoa, Arthropoda, Insecta, Diptera, Drosophilidae. The record is from RefSeq and is a predicted model, not a curated record.
ACAUUUAAGUAGGCUAUCGAUUAUCUCUCGUGACAAAUAAUCAAAACUAACUGGACAUUCGAAAGCUUCCCUGGCGUCCGCAUCUGAUUGACGCAGCUGGGCUGAGCUGAGUUGAAGUGUGGUGAAGUGAGGCGCGGGAAUGGGCUAAUCGCAUUUGUGGUCAGGCGCAAAAUGUCUCAGUUUCAGUUUCAACUCUAGAUCGCUGGGAUUGUCAGGUUUUCAUUCCGAAUCGAAAUGCACUUUUCUCUUUAAUCCUCUGCGUUGGUAUUGGAUAAGUGAAUGUACACCUGCAGCUCUACAGCCUUCACAUGGCUAUCAAGCAACCAUGGCCAGAGCUCUGGCUAGAGACCAGCGGCCUACUCUCAGCUCCAUGAGUAUGCAUUACAAUUUUGGACUUCGUGCUUCGGCAGAGGAGCGGAGAGGAGUGCAAGAAUAAGGAGAACACAGAACAAAUAAACACAUUCUACUGUUGGCAAUAAGGCAAAGCUAAUAACCGCACGAGUGCAAAACACUUCCCCCUUCCCCCUUCCCUCUUCCCUCUUCCCUCUUCCAUCUUUCCUCUCCACUCCUCAGUCUUCUCUUAUCCCACAUUACUUUUGACUCUCUGCCGCGUUUGCUCAAGUUAAAAAGCCGCAAGAUCCCAAAUCCGGUUUCCUUCCUAUUCGAAAGAAAUCAACAUGGGAAUGGAUCGAAUUCUACUCCUAUUUAACGCGUAUUUCUUCCGCCUGAGCUCAUUGCCAAUGGGAAAGAUGUGAAUAAUACGAAACCCUAUUGAGCUUCAGUCCAGUUAAGUGAUGUCUCUCAAACCAUGUAGAUCAGUGUUCGCUACUUAAUUAAUUGGAGUUGGCAACAUUCUCAUCAGUUCGCCCGUCUGUUCGUCUCUCCGUCCGUCCGUUCGCAUGGACGCAAGCGUGAGACAGAAGAGUUUAAUUCACUUUGCGAUGGUUCAUCACAAUGAAGCGCUGUUCAGGGUAUCUGUUAGUCGGUCAUUGUCGACUGCUGAAUUAUCUCAACGUGAUCUCAAUAGACAUUAUCAGCUUUCAUCGUAUAGUUACCCAAAUCCAAAUCCAAACUUAAAUCCCAAUCAAAGACCUGACGCAGUGCGCCCCAAAAAGCGGGCUCAAGGCCUGCUCCAUAUAUGAAGACACACAUAGACGUAUGUAUAUAUAUAUUCCUAUGUAUUCGGAUUUCGAAUUAUGCAAAUUAUGUACAUUAGGUUAUGUUAUUGUAAUUGCAGUUUUGAUUUGGAUAGAUGCAUAAGUCCCAGUGCGAAACGUCACUCGACUUUAAUUGUAAAAGCAAAAGCAGAAGGCAGCGCCAAGGCGAAGAGAGGGGGCAAAACCGAUGGCAGAAGCAAUGCAAAGGUAGAGGUGGAGGUAGAAGUGGGGGUAAAGGCAAAUGCAAAGAGCCAUAAUAAUUAAAACAAAUCCCCAGCGAUGUUGCUCGAAAGUCAAAACAUAAGUUGAAAGUGAUUUGUCAAAACAAAAUGAGCACAGAUUGGGGGAAGCAACAAGGUCGACUGCGGUGUAUCUCAUAACAUUUGAACACACAAUUGGGAAUUCGAAGCGAGGUAACAUCUGGUCAGGUUAUUAGCGAUUCCAUCACACUGCCAGGCGGCAGAGUUAAGCUAGAGCCAUGGAGAACAUAUCCCCACUCAGGCUUUUUCAUUCGGAUUGGAAAGUCUCUAGUUUGAAAGGUCAUCAAAUUCCGCUUGAAACUGGUUGAAUGUGUGAUUCGAACACCAUGGAAGAUUCCCGGUUGAUUGUCAAUGUGUGGCCCGUGUGGAUGUGUAAAUCGCCUUUCUGGAAUAGGAGAUAGAGGUUUUUCCGAUUUGUCAGACCCCUGGGGGAGUUUCGUAAUAGUGUGCAACGAGGGAUUCCAAAUUGCAUGUCGAGCUAGAGAUCAUUUACACAUUUAUUCGUACAUUGCAAUAUGUAUUAAAUAAUCUCCUAUUCAUCUGUCGAACGCGGAAUAUAAUCUUGAACCAAAUGUGCUAGCGCGCCUUCGAUAGGCACAGAUGCUAGUCUCGUGAUACGGCUAUGUAUAAACAGAGAACUGAACAAUGCGAGAACGGAUAUGUGUAUAUAUGAUAUAUACAUCAGUAUCACUAGAAUGAUCCGACUGGCACAAAUGUAUAUACAUACAUAUGUAUGUGUCGAUAUAGCUAUGAAUGAAUGUGGGAGAAAGCCAUUUGUUAAUAUAUUUGUC